GUGAAUCAUCAAAUUUUUGAACGCAAAUUGCGCUUCCUGGCAUCCCGGGAAGUAUGCCUGUUUGAGGGUCAGUAUUAAUAAAAAAUCGGUUUAUUUACAAAUUGUGACGUUUCCGGAGUUGGUGCUAUCUUAACAUUUUUGGUUAUGAGGUUUAAAUUUGCCCUUUUUUGCUCAUUUUUAAAUUUACACAAAUUUUUUUUAUUCGUCUAUUCUUAUUGCCAAAAUCUUAUUAGAGUCAAUCUUU
This 244-nucleotide unclassified non-coding RNA is filed under the name Glomeraceae sp. RNAcentral describes it as "partial contains 5.8S ribosomal RNA and internal transcribed spacer 2". The stretch from base 1 to 71 matches the Rfam family "5.8S ribosomal RNA", at positions 84 to 154 of the family's 154-position model. Lineage: Eukaryota; Fungi; Glomeromycota; Glomeromycetes; Glomerales; Glomeraceae. The record is from RNAcentral.